GCUGUUCUCUCUGGUUAUAAAUCCCUCCCUGUCUCCUCCUCUUAUCUCACUCAAAACCCAGCUGAGAUUUCAGCAUUUCCAUGCAGACUCCUCCCUUAUACCUGUUCUUCUUUCCGCACUUGGGACUCUGCCAGCACUUGGCAUUUAAUCAGCCACAGUGGAUUUAAGUGUUUCACUUGUGAGUGGCUUAUCUCCCACAUUACACUAGAUAUUCCUUGAGGGCACUGACCAGCCUCCUGCAUCCGUCCGUCAGCUUGGCCCAGCCACAGCUCUGUCUCUUCUUGGUGAGUGGCUCUGGGCACUUGCCCCUUCCCAUCACUGUGCCUAAUCCCUCUCCUGUACACGGUGGGGACCACUGGAGGAGCUCUGGAGACUCCCUCUUGUGAACAUUAGGACUCCAAAAUGGUCCCCAGCUUGCUUCAGAGAGCUCACAGCCAAGAUGACAAGUGAGACCAUCAACCAUCAGUCCACUACCACCCUCAUAUCAUUGUUUUAUAUGUAUGAGAACCACCAUCAUCAUGGCAGUUACCUCCAAUUCAGCACCUUUUACAGAUCAUCACCAGUGUUAAUUGAAUGCAGGUGCCGGGGGAGACUGAGGCAGAAGAAUCGCUUGAACCCAGAAGGUGGAGGUUGCAGUGAGCAGAGAUCGCGCCACUGCCCUCCAACCAGGGUGACAGAGCGAGACUCCGUCUCAAAAAAAAGAAAAAAAGAAAAGAAAGAAAGAAAAGAAAAGAGACAAAAUGGCAGAGUCUGACCUUCGGACCUUCGGGGCACUCUGCUGGAAAAGCGAUGAUGGGCAUGUGCACCACUUCCUAAACACAUUGCGCAUGCUCACCUCCGGAGGCAGCUUCUCACUCAGCUGCCAUGCAUUGACUUCCCUGUUGAUCCAGCCUACUGCGGACCCAAAUAUUCCUGUUGCCAGAUAGGAGGGAUGAGUAAUGGAGACUCCAGUCCUCAGAGACCUUGAUCAAGUAAAGCAAAAACCCCUUCCUCCACUUUCUUUGCAAGUGGCUAAACCCUUAGUCACUCUGGGAAGAAAAGUAAACUGAAAACUUGAAAAAGUCCCAAGACAGAAUCUAACUCCAUCCCCUGCCCCAGAUAAAAAGCAAGAUAGCACAACUAUAGCAACCUUUUAAGUCAAAUUAAAUGAGCUAAUAAAAAUCAGGCCUGUUCAAGUGCCCAAUUGAUUUAAACAUGAAGAUUGUCAGUUUCCAGCAUCACUGAUUCUAAUCCAACAACCCUCACCAUAGAGGUCUUCAUUCAGCCUGCUGUGUUUGGAGGUUUUGCUUAUUGGGUGUGUAUCUGUAAGGUAAAUCUUGACGAUUUCCUUACUACAGACAAUUAUCUGGCUGGAGAUGUC
Molecule: long non-coding RNA, 1360 nt
Filed under: Homo sapiens (human)
Lineage: Eukaryota; Metazoa; Chordata; Mammalia; Primates; Hominidae
Description: HSALNT0069577
Source: RNAcentral